Long non-coding RNA from Marmota monax (woodchuck), 2183 nucleotides. RefSeq lists it as uncharacterized. The transcript has 4 exons. NCBI's taxonomy places the organism in Eukaryota, Metazoa, Chordata, Mammalia, Rodentia, Sciuridae. The record is from RefSeq and is a predicted model, not a curated record.
CAGCAAGGACAUUGAGGCCCCAUUGAGGUGGCGCCAGGCACACGCUCCUUCUUGGCCACCUGCUUACCCCUGGGGGACAUGAAUGGCCCUCAGAGAACUCGCCUCCCUCCUGGACCUCUUCUCAGACUUGCUCCCUGGCUGGUGUGAGGUGCUGGGAAAGGCCUCUUGUGCCUGGAACCUGCUGGUUGGGGGUGGCCUAUCAGCCAGUUCUGGAAAGGCCUGUGCACUGGAGCUGCCUGUUGUGAGCCAGUCCUUGUAAAGCUGCCUGUCACACAUCGUUUCUCCUUCAGUGAAAGGAACACUUUCCUUCAUUGCAGACACUGCCCUCAUUGAGCUGGAGUGCGAGGCUCCUGAGAUCUUGGUUCCCUAGGUGUCAACUUGAGAUAAGACCCAGUAAAUCUCUGGUAAAAGCAUGGCAAGAAAUAAAUUGAGAAGUAGACAGCCUCAAGCCAAGGACUCCUUGAAAGGCACUGGAAAAUCCACUUCUUCAUUGGGUUCAGAGAUGAGCUAACCCGGACCUCAACAGCGCCUGUCCGGAGCAGUGAGUCUUCUGCACGUCCUUUGCUUCAAGGUUACAACUUGGUGAAAGUUAACCGGAAGGAAGAGUGACAAGCAGAGACACACUUGACCUUCCUAACUGCGAGGAACCCUGUUCCGGGGGCAGUUGAGAUCUGUGGAGCGUCUUUGGUGCAGCCUUCCAGGGUGUCCUGUUUAAGGACAGCCUCCCAGGGGUUCCCCACACUGGCUCCCAGGCGCACACGGUCAGCACGGUCAGCACGUGGGGCUUCCUGUGCACUGAGAGCCAGGGUGUAUGAGUUUCCAUGAAGCUCGGUGUCAGGGCCCAGCUGAGAAGCGGCCCCAGCUGCUGUGCACCGAAACUCUAACAGCCAAAGGGAUGAACUGAAUGUGCAAAAUCCAAGCUGUGCUUCUGUGUGUUGGUGACAAUCCUGGUGGACCCAUUGGACCCUAGGAUGGCAUGGUGCAAUAAGGAGUUAGGAUCCAGGACUUUCCAUCCUUGGCAAGUACUCCACCUACCUGAGCAUCUUUCCCUUCUUAUAAAGCAAGGUGUGUGACAAGUUUAAUGGUGUUGAAUAUAGGCGAUAAUAAUGAGGCUAAGGUUAGCCAAGAUCACAAUGACAGCAAGGAAGGCCAUUUUGGUAUUUCCUGGGUCUUCAUGGUAUUCUUCUCAGCUUACAAAGACUCCCUAGUGGACUUCCUCACAUCAUUCCUAGAAGAGGAGCUGGGGCCAGAGACCCCACACUGGCUGGUUUUCUAUCAUUCAGUGGGGAGCAGGUUCGGGGCUGGUCCUGAGAGGCACCCUCAAGAAGCGCAUGAAUAGCUGCCAUGUUCACCAACAGCUUUGAGUUUCAUUAGGAAGCUGGGCAACACCUUGGCCAAGACUGCAGUACCAUUAAGUGCCACCUCCAGCUCUUCCCGGCCCCGUGGUGGCUCCCACUUCUACUUGACCUUCAUAGGUCAACGCUUCCAUGAUAAGUACCAAGGCUCUCCAGUUCCCCCCUGCCUCCAUGUGCCACACUCUUUUCUGACAUUCUUUCACUUUGUGCAGCUUUUAUCUCUGUCUUUGACUUGACUUAUGAGAAAACAGAAAUAGGUUCAGGACCUUGCAAUGCCCCACUGCAAAUACCCGUGAGGACUGGAGGGGAACUGACCUCUGUUCACGUCUGAGCCCACAGGCGUGACCCACACUGCGAGGGCGAGCCUAAGAGGAGAGUGGGUGUGGCAGGACGUGGCAACUGCUGUGUCCAAAGUGGGUGAGAGAGGGGUAAGUCCCAGGCCUCCAGGCUGGCUUAUCACUGCAGAUGAAACAGGAGGUUGGGAAGCAGAGUGGCUCUCCAUGCCUUGGCUUAUAAACCCUGCAAAUGUCUCGGCCUCUAGCUUUUUACCCUCCCCUUCCUGAGCUGUGAAUGCCUUGCUUUGUCUCUCCUCGAUUUUCAAAACUAGUUGUUUUGUUGAGUGCAAACCACUUUUCAAUAAACCACCCUGCUUCUUGGGAAAUGGACUCAGGAAAGUUCUGGAAUCCUGAGAAGGUAUCUAGGGACAGGCUGCUGUAAGAUUCUGGCUCUGUGGACACUGGGGGAUAUGUGCUUGUCCUGGGAAGGUCCACUUACCAUGCACGCCCUCUCUGGUUCCCCAAAUACUGGAAAGCCAUGUUCACCUGGGCU